UACUAAAUCACUAUUACAACUAUUCCUACCCAAAAUAGAUGUCUAUUAAAAUCAACCCCAUCUUUAUAACUCUUUAUCAUUUUUACUAAUAACACAUUUCUACGUAGCUAACACAAUGAUUUUCUUUGAAAUUUAGAAAAUGCAAAAUAGAAUUUCAAGAUUUUACAAGUCUUUUGUUUGGAACCAAAAAAUGGUUUUAAUACCCUGGGAUGACCUAAACCCGGAACUAAUCCUGUCGGUGUGUGAACCAAAAAUUGAGUUCCACUUUGCGUCGUUGACAUAACCAAACCAAAAUCGAGUUGCUUAACAAAAAACAGUGAGACACAACAAAUUUUCUUUCUCCUUCUGCGCUAAAUCAAACCUUAGGCUUCUCAUCGAAUCAAAAGAAAAGUCAAUCAAAUUCGAAUCUAAUUGAUUAAAUACCCAUCGUCUGAUUGAUUUCUCUUUGUUUCUUUAACUCAUUAAAUUCAUAGGAACUUGAAGAGAAGUAAUAACGAUGAAGGAGAUUCAUUUCUGACCAAAUUCGUUUUCAACUCAGUCAUAUCGUUUUUGGUUCUUUAACCAAAUUAUGAUAUUUACGAAAUUCGUGAAUAAAUGGAUCAAAAGAAAACUUUCGUCUGUGAAGGGAGGAACUCCCUUGUUCUACCAAGUGAGGCGUCCACAUCGAAGAAAAAAGACCAUGUCGUAGAAGAUGAUGAAUAUUGCAUUACCAGAAGUGGGGAUGAAAAUACCUACUCUUGGUAACUUGGUAGCAGCUCUAGUGAAGCCGAUGCCGAAGCCAUUAUAAACAAUAGCAGAAAGAAUAAAGGAACAUCUCAGGAGGAAGAUGACUUAGACAAAGUUCUGGCCGAGCACGAUAAUCUCCUAUUGUUUCAAAACUUACUGCUUCUCCGAAAGAAGAAAAGGUUCAAGAUCAACCUGAACAGUUAGGCUCGGUUGAUGCUACUGGAGGGGAGAAGGAAGCGGAGGCAGAUACAGGGAAGUCUGCGGCAGCAAAGAAGAACAAAAAGGAGAAGGAGAAAAAGGAAGCUGCUGCAGCUGUAGUGGGAGUUCAGGAUACAACGCAGGAGGAAACAAAGAGUCAAAAACGUGAUGACAAGCACCCGAUAAAUGUUAUAAAUAUGUAGGAGGCUUUGCAAAGGCCUAAAGAACUUGAAGAGAGAAUGAGGAGGGAAGAGGAAGAGAAAGAAGGAGGAAGAAAGGCACCUCAGGCAAGAGGAACUCGAAAAACAAGCAUAAAAAGCCAAGCGAAGGAAAAAGAAAAAGAGAGGAUGCUGAUGAGAAAGAAGGAAGGGAAGCCUAUAAAAAGGAAGCAGAAAAAUGAAGCUCGUCGGCUUGAACUAAAUUGAACUGGGUAUAAGAAACAAGGAGCAACAUUCAAGUCUAAUGGCAAUACAAACAUUACACCAAACCAAAUGAGGGAAUUUAAGGUUGUUAGAUUUUGCUUUUGUUUUUUCUUUUUAUGGUUUCAAAUCCAGUGGAUUACUUUCCUGACUAAGUUUAAACACAUUUUACUUAGUUUUGGCAGGAGUACUGCUUGUUGAAUGGUCUGAACUUUGAUGCAACACCAAAUGGGUAUUCUACCAGUAUAUCACUAGAGGAUAUUCUUCUGUUGGAUCCCCAAACUGCACCUCUGGUUGCACCACUAAAUCUCAGUACGAAGGGCGAAGUGGUUUAUUGUGUUGAUGGUUCCCAUCAGGUCAGCAAUCUUCUGCAGCAAGCUCUCCUUCUCAUGGGCGUCCUGUACCAGUUCUGUAACAAGAGCCACAGUUAACCAAAGCUCAUCUUGUUUAUGAAAUGCAUGGAUGAAACUGAAGGGUUGUACCAGCAGUGAUCUUCCCAUUUUGGUUCCUGCUAGUUUUAGUUGAUAGAAACUGCCAGUUCUGUCGUUUCGAAGCGUGACUCAAAAUGGCUGACUUGGCUGAAACAAAUAUUGACGUUUUCGUUUUGAUGUUUUUUUCUUCUUUCUUACUCUAUAAGAAGAAUGGCCUCAACAUAACUUAGUUACUUAUGUGCUUUACUAUGUUCAGUGCGUACUUCUCAAAUUGAUGGGAAGGAGAUAUUCCGCCAAGCUAGGUCUGACUACUACGGGGUUCAGUUCUUAGUCACGAUUUCUAUUGACAAUUUCGAAAGUUUACAACUAUACGAAAUUGUGGAUAUUUGGAACUGCAGGAGUACUUUGUCUUAUGAGCAGUUCAGUGCAUUUCUUUCCAACAUCAAGGAGCUGAACUGUCAAAAUCAAACUCUAGAGGUAAUUACUUACUUCUUUGUGAUUUUUGAAACUCUCGGUAAAAUCUUUUGGUCAUUGAACCGACGUAACUAAGCAAAUUGGUUUGUCUUUUUCCCUGUUAUCCAGGAAACGUUAAGGAAGGCAGAAUAAUUAUUUGGUACAGACAUGAGACAACAAAGAUCAUUACUUAUCACUCCAAGGGCUGCUUAUUCGUAACAACCAUUAGGACUUAAAGGCGUAUUCCAAAGAUGGUGCAUCAUAAUAGAAUUGCGCAAAAGAAGCCAAACUGGCACCUUCUAAUAAUUGAAAAGGUUGGAAAUUUUGGAUACGAAGAGAUUGAAUGGGAGUAAAAGAGAAGUUGUUGCUAGUCACUGGGUACACCAUUUUCUCUAUCAUGUUACAUGAUCUGAUACCAUUAGUUGUUACCCCCAACCGUCCAAGCCGCCAUCUAGUGUAUAUUUGUUGUUUCAUGUAUGUUGUGUAACCUUUACAGUGGAUUACAAGUUUAACUAAAUGGAAGAUGUCCGGUUUUUUCCAAAUUGUGUCAGCAUCCUAAUUUUGUGAAUACUUGCACUGUCACCUGAACCGGAACCUGGCAUUUCAUGUGACCGGAACCUGGAUUUCAGGUGGUCGGAACCUAGCAACUUCAGGUGACCGGAACCUGGCAUUUCCAGGUGACCGGAACCUGGCAUUUCCAGGUGAUCGGAACCUGAAAAUGCGAAUAUUUUUUUUUAAUAAAAUCUAACUAAUUGCUAAUGGAAGGCGUGUUACCUAAUUAUGAAAACACAAGACACAUGUCAUCUCUUUACUAGUCACUUGAACAGUUAUAUAAAAAGUUAGCAAAGGUUAUAACACAAUUUUUACGUUACAAAAUAAAUAGGAAGUGUAAAAUGUCAAUAGUUAGGAUAAAUAUUGUAAUGGAAAUGAAGUGUGGCUUAUUUAAUUUCCCUAAUGGACUAAAAGGGUUGGAUAAAAUACUAACGCACUAUAUAACUGCUUAUGGGUAACCAUUUUUCUUAGUUAGGGAAAUUAGCUUCUAUUUUUUGGUAACACUUUUGUUUCAUAAGGAAAUUCUUGAUUUGGUGUAAUGUUCCCUCUUUGAAUGACAACGCACAACUAGCAAACAAACAACA
Papaver somniferum (opium poppy) is the source of this 3363-nucleotide long non-coding RNA. RefSeq lists it as uncharacterized. Lineage: Eukaryota; Viridiplantae; Streptophyta; Magnoliopsida; Ranunculales; Papaveraceae. The record is from RefSeq and is a predicted model, not a curated record. The transcript is spliced from 3 exons.